GGGGUUGUAGCUCAGUGGUAGAGCACUUGCCUGGCAUGCAUGAGGCUCUGGGUUCCAUCCUCAGUACCACA
RNAcentral lists this transfer RNA (71 nucleotides) under Marmota monax (woodchuck). RNAcentral's name for it is "tRNA.Ala". It matches the Rfam family "tRNA". Rfam says of the family: Transfer RNA (tRNA) molecules are approximately 80 nucleotides in length. Their secondary structure includes four short double-helical elements and three loops (D, anti-codon, and T loops). Further hydrogen bonds mediate the characteristic L-shaped molecular structure. tRNAs have two regions of fundamental functional importance: the anti-codon, which is responsible for specific mRNA codon recognition, and the 3' end, to which the tRNAs corresponding amino acid is attached (by aminoacyl-tRNA synthetases). tRNAs cope with the degeneracy of the genetic code in two manners: having more than one tRNA (with a specific anti-codon) for a particular amino acid; and 'wobble' base-pairing, i.e. permitting non-standard base-pairing at the 3rd anti-codon position. The record is from RNAcentral. Lineage: Eukaryota; Metazoa; Chordata; Mammalia; Rodentia; Sciuridae.